GCCGCCUCUCCCGGUCCGCCGCCUGUGGAAGACUUCACUUCGUGACGGUGCAGGAGGGGCUGCGCCCGGGCGGGGUGGGCGACCGGCCUUCGUGACCCCCGGCCGCCCCUGCCUGGGCUGCUGCCCACGAGCCCCUUUCUGAGCCAGAGGCGCCCGCGGGGAGUCCGCCCCGCAUCCCGGCGUCCAGGGGGCGAGCCUGGGGCGGCGGCGGGUCCUGCAGGCUCCACUGCCUUCUGUGACCUUGUUCGGGCCCGUCCUCCAGCCACGCUCCCCGACUCCGGCUGCCCGGCCGCGCCUCCUCCCCGGGCUAGUGAGCUUCUCUGGGGCGGGACCGUCGAACGAUCAGAGUCCCUUCUCUGGGGCGUGAUCUCGGAGGUGAUGCGUUUGCAUAGUUUUGACUCUUCAUACUGCCUCGGGAAAGCAGGGUUCCCGCGCACUGUGCGCUGCUGCGACCCCGUUGCUUAGUCUGGCACCUGGCGUGGGUGGCAAUCCGCACCUCACACACUGAAAGAUGAAUGAAGCUUCUGGGGGGCAGAUGCUCCAGUGCUGUGGCCGCUUUGGCCUCACCUUAUAUCCCUGCCAAAGAACGUCUGAGGUUAGAGGUCCCUCCGCCAGGACACAUGGAUGCCAACCCACCGAGCCUCAUGGUAGGAGUCUGUCUGCCUCCAUUCCUGCUAGAGUCCUACUUUUUUCCUCUAGGAACCUACCCUGCCUGCUGGGCCUGGUCCUAGACCCUCCUCGGCCCCUGGUGGCCCUUGGCAGGCUCAGGCGUGCUCAUCCUUACAGGAGCGAACAAACCCCUGCCCAGACUGGGGCCCAUCUGAGGCCCUCAUGGGGGGAGGUCUGUAGAUCACCCUGGUCUGGCUUCCUCCUCCCCUCGAUUUUUAGAGCCGAAAGGGCCUGGUGACUGGCUCAACCCUGUGGUGCAUGUCCCUGAGACACACACAUGAGGUGGAGCCAGAAUGGGGCUGGCACCCAGGGUUCCCUGGGGUGCUGGUGUAUGUCUUUUCAGGAGGCUGUGACGUUUGGUGACGUGGCCGUACACUUCUCAAGGGAGGAGUGGCAGUGCCUGGACCCUGGCCAGAGGGCACUGUACAAGGAGGUGAUGCUGGAGAACCACAGCAGCGUGGCUGGACUAGGUGAGGCUGUGUCUUGGGACCCCUCCUCCUGCAUCAUGGGUCAGCACCCACCUAGUCAGGCCCGUUGUCUGGGGGGUGGGGGGGCCGUGGGUCUCUGAGGGUCAGGAACUGACCCUGGGAUGUGUCAUGGUGAGUUCUGUGCAUUGUAAACACCAUUUUGCAUGCUUUUAUGUUUGUUAACUUUGUGAGGUCAGAUUUUAAUGAAAUUUAAUCCGUUAGUAUUCGCCUUAUGGAUUGUACGUUUGAAACCUUAUUUAAAGAUUCUUUCAUACUCUAAGGUCAUGGAGACAGUCUACACGUUCUCCUGUGGGCUUUCUAGUUUAUGUUUCUUGUUUAGAUCUGGGCUCCACGUUUGUGUCUGGAGUUAAGUAGGAGCCCAUCCUUUUCCAUUGAUUUGUGGGGCUGCCUUUCUCCUGUGUGACAGUGUGCUUCCCAGCUGGCCUUGUAGUGUGUCUUAAUGCCUGGUAGGACAACUUCCCUUUUUUGUUCUUUUUAAAACUUCACUUACUUAUUCAGGGGUAAUAGGGUAAUUCUUUCAUGUAAAUUUAGAGUAAGUUUGAGUUUUUUAAUACUUGGAACUGAGCUUUUCAUUGGGGGUGCUUUGAAUUUGUAGAAUUCCUAAAAGGAAAACUAAUCUCUUUCUCAUACUAAUUGUUCUCAUCCAAGAUCAUAGAACGUGUCUCCAUUUGUUCCAUUUACCUCCUGUGUACUUUGUUAGAAUUCUGGGAUUUUCUCCAGGAUGGUCUGGUACCUUCUAGAUGCUUUAUU
This 1907-nucleotide long non-coding RNA is filed under the name Canis lupus dingo (dingo). RNAcentral's name for it is "lncRNA (ENSCAFG00020021029.1)". Lineage: Eukaryota; Metazoa; Chordata; Mammalia; Carnivora; Canidae. The record is from RNAcentral.